GACGAACGCUGGCGGCGUGCUUAACACAUGCAAGUCGAACGGAAAGGCCCUGCUUUUGUGGGGUGCUCGAGUGGCGAACGGGUGAGUAACACGUGAGUAACCUGCCCUUGACUUUGGGAUAACUUCAGGAAACUGGGGCUAAUACCGGCUAGGAGCUCCUGCUGCAUGGUGGGGGUUGGAAAGUUUCGGCGGUUGGGGAUGGACUCGCGGCUUAUCAGCUUGUUGGUGGGGUAGUGGCUUACCAAGGCUUUGACGGGUAGCCGGCCUGAGAGGGUGACCGGCCACAUCGGGCCUGAGAUACGGCCCAGCCUCCUACGGGAGGCAGCAGUGGGGAAUAUUGCGCAAUGGGCGGAAGCCUGAUGCAGCAACGCCGCGUGCGGGAUGACGGCCUUCGGGUUGUAAACCGCUUUCGCCUGUGACGAAGCGUGAGUGACGGUAAUGGGUAAAGAAGCACCGGCUAACUACGUG
RNAcentral lists this ribosomal RNA (468 nucleotides) under uncultured bacterium. RNAcentral describes it as "partial 16S ribosomal RNA". It matches the Rfam family "Bacterial small subunit ribosomal RNA", at positions 28 to 507 of the family's 1533-position model. The record is from RNAcentral.